Molecule: signal recognition particle RNA, 299 nt
Filed under: Cebus imitator (Panamanian white-faced capuchin)
Lineage: Eukaryota; Metazoa; Chordata; Mammalia; Primates; Cebidae
Description: Metazoan signal recognition particle RNA (ENSCCAG00000005652.1)
Rfam family: Metazoan signal recognition particle RNA
About the family: The signal recognition particle (SRP) is a universally conserved ribonucleoprotein. It is involved in the co-translational targeting of proteins to membranes. The eukaryotic SRP consists of a 300-nucleotide 7S RNA and six proteins: SRPs 72, 68, 54, 19, 14, and 9.
Source: RNAcentral
GCCAGGUGCAGUGGUGCGUGCCUGUAGUCCCAGCUACUCAGGAGGCUGAGAUGGGAGGAUCGCUUGAGCCCAGGAGUUCUGGGCUGUAGUGCGCUAUGCCGAUCGGGUGUCCGCACUAAGUUCAGCAUCAGUAUGGUGACCUCCCGGGAAUGGGGGACCACCAGGUUGCCUAAGGAGGGGUGAACCAGCCCAGGUCUGAAACGGAGCAGGUCAAAACUCCCGUGCUGAUCAGUAGUGGGAUUGCACCUGUGAAUAGCCACUGCACUCCAGCCUGGGCAACAUAAUGAGACCCCGUUUCU